UUCAACAGCUGCAGCUGAAAAAAGUAGUGCUUUUAUCAAAGCUUUUGACUCAAAAAUAAAGGAGUUGGUUGAUGUAUUAGCAGCACAGUUUAUAUCCUGUUUCGAGCAGCAGAAUGUGCUUUUGCAAAAUUGCUUUGCGAAGCAGAAUGAACUGCUCUUGAAAAUACAAACCAAUAAUUUGGUUAAUGAUGCAGCACAAGAUGAUGAAGAUGAAGUGCCACUUCCGGAUAACCCACAACCUUCGUCUCCUAGAAAUGCUCCUGUAGUCGAAGAGGAAACUGAAGAAACUGAAUAUACGGCAAGUGGCACAGUUGAAUCUUUUUUAGAAGAUCAUGGUGAUGAUGAUGGUUUCAUCUAUGAAACUUUAGAUAAUGAUUUUUAUUAAAUUCAAGAGAAAUGCUCGAUAUGCCUUGAUGUAUUGACCAGACCAGCCAUCAUACCAAGAAGUGCCCAUGUGUUCUGCUAUGAAUGCAUUUACGAGUGGGUCGAUAAGGAGCUUGAGUGCCCAUUGUGCAGAAUAAUAAUUAAUACUUUUGAUAUUGCUGAGUUGCCAUAGCCUCACUUUAAUAGUUUUAUUGUAACCUACAUUUUCGCAUUUUUGUAUUACGUUUUCUAAUAAUACUUUAUAAUUACAUUUAUAAAACUACCUAUUUUUGUACUUUUUGUAAGUUUUGUAAAAAAAAUCAAUAAAGAGUGAAUUGACUUGA
This is a long non-coding RNA of Nasonia vitripennis (jewel wasp), 707 nucleotides long. RefSeq lists it as uncharacterized. The record is from RefSeq and is a predicted model, not a curated record. NCBI's taxonomy places the organism in Eukaryota, Metazoa, Arthropoda, Insecta, Hymenoptera, Pteromalidae. The transcript is spliced from 3 exons.